GCCAGGCAUGGUGGUGCGUGCCUGUAAUCCAAGCUACCUGGGAGGCUGAGGUAGGAGAAUCACUUGAGCCCAGGAGGCAUAGGCUGCAGUGAGCCAUGAUUUCACCACUGUACUCCAGACUGGGCAACAGAGCAAGAUCCUAUCUCAA
This 148-nucleotide small RNA is filed under the name Macaca mulatta (Rhesus monkey). RNAcentral's name for it is "Metazoan signal recognition particle RNA (ENSMMUG00000063085.1)". The record is from Rfam by way of RNAcentral. Lineage: Eukaryota; Metazoa; Chordata; Mammalia; Primates; Cercopithecidae.